This 441-nucleotide ribosomal RNA is filed under the name Paenibacillus sp. RNAcentral describes it as "bacterial SSU rRNA". It matches the Rfam family "Bacterial small subunit ribosomal RNA", at positions 333 to 768 of the family's 1533-position model. The record is from RNAcentral. Lineage: Bacteria; Bacillati; Bacillota; Bacilli; Caryophanales; Paenibacillaceae.
CUACUCCUACGGGAGGCAGCAGUAGGGAAUCUUCCGCAAUGGGCGAAAGCCUGACGGAGCAAUGCCGCGUGAGUGAUGAAGGUUUUCGGAUCGUAAAGCUCUGUUGCCAGGGAAGAACGCUUGGGAGAGUAACUGCUCUCAAGGUGACGGUACCUGAGAAGAAAGCCCCGGCUAACUACGUGCCAGCAGCCGCGGUAAUACGUAGGGGGCAAGCGUUGUCCGGAAUUAUUGGGCGUAAAGCGCGCGCAGGCGGUCAUUUAAGUCUGGUGUUUAAUCCCGGGGCUCAACCCCGGAUCGCACUGGAAACUGGGUGACUUGAGUGCAGAAGAGGAGAGUGGAAUUCCACGUGUAGCGGUGAAAUGCGUAGAUAUGUGGAGGAACACCAGUGGCGAAGGCGACUCUCUGGGCUGUAACUGACGCUGAGCGCGAUAGGCUUACCCC